This is a long non-coding RNA of Homarus americanus (American lobster), 2561 nucleotides long. RefSeq lists it as uncharacterized. Lineage: Eukaryota; Metazoa; Arthropoda; Malacostraca; Decapoda; Nephropidae. The transcript has 2 exons. The record is from RefSeq and is a predicted model, not a curated record.
CUUCCUUUCCCUUCCACCCCUCUAUCCCACCAUUUGUCCCCCCUCCCUUUCUUCACGUACCACUCUUCCUUUCCUUAUCUAUUAUCCUUCUGCCACCUACCACCCCUCUAUCCCUUCCCUAUCACCUCUCGUUCCUUCCACUUGUGUUUUAUUGGUUUAUUUAAUAAGUUUUAUAGUAUAUGAUGGUCACCUUAUUAAUAAUGUAACAUUUUGUGUGAUUACAAUUACACUACACACACUUAGUCGAAGUGACCAGUUAUUAGUGUUGAUAUUAAUGGGAUAAAUAUUAGAUAAGUUUAUUGGAGUUUGCUAUAAAAUAUGUGACUAUAAUUAUAAAUUGUGAGUGUGAAGAAGGGUUUAUAAGUUGUAUAUAUGUCAAUUAGAGGAACAAAUAAUUUGCUAACCACACCCUAGUCCUUCAAUGGAAAACGCAUCGAAAUGCGCAGCGGCGAAUGCAUUCGGCGGGAGAAUAAUGCGGCGACACGCGUAGAAUACUCGUACGCCUCUCUCGGGCACGUACGUUUCCAUUUACUAAAGUUAGGUGGGUUUGUUUGGGUGGCGUGGGACCCAGAGGGCAUCGGCAGGCGGUCGCGUCCGGCGGUUGCCGUGCGAGAAAUUGGGAGGACGGGCUUUCACGUUGCAGAAAUUAAGGAACGGCAUCUUCCGGCGGAACCACAGCCCGCGAUUAAAGGAACGCUCGGGUUUGACGCCCACGGACCGAGCGCGCGGCUCCUCCGCCGUACAUUUCGUCGUCGGUAACAAGAGUAGUCGAUUGAAGUCCCCUCUUUUGCCUGGGUGGAUGUGUCUGUGCUAACCGUUUUAGGCAAGUGAAUGUUUGGUACAGCAGAUUUGGGGAUUCAUUGUAGGGUAGACUUGCCAUACAGUGCAGUGUUUUAAUUGGUAUUAUAUUGCGGCGAUCGGCGAGCACGGAGACCGAAGCCUCACUCGACCGUGUCUCGGGAGGCGUGGGGUUUGGUCCGAGGCCACUCGCAGUCAUCGUCGAGGGUAUAGUCCGGAGCGCCGUUCGACGUGACGUCUCGUCGAAAUUCCGGAGCGGUCUUCUCGUCGCGGGGCGCGCCGGAGGUCGACGCUACGACGUUCCCGGAGGGGUCGUCGUCGUCGUCGUCGGGUAUUUGACGUGCAUCCGGAGUAGAACGAGGGCACGCGUCGAACCGUCGAAAGUGCGCAAGAAAUGAGAUCGCGUAAAUAACGGCAGAUUAAUUUCGUCGACACUCGUACGUAUAAGAGUGCAAAGUAAAUAAAUAAUACGUAUUUUUUUUAUGGGAAUUAGCCCACCCGGGCACGGGUCACCGACCCACAUCGGGGCGAAAAUGUAAUAAUAAUAAUAAUUGUUGAAGUUACAGUGUUCAUUUUUGGUGGAUAUCAACGAAAUAUGAUGCGAGAGGCUCAGACGACGACACAAACGACGACGCUCUCUCCGGUAUAUUUUCGGGACCGUCCGUAAAAACGAAACCAAAACACACGUGCGCAUUCAAAGUGGCGCUUUAUUCCACAAGUAAAAUAUAACAUAUUGCCAUAAAUAUGGGGUAACCUAGUUUAUAUGUAACAAUAAUACUGAAGAACCUUAAAGAAAUACAAAAUGGAAAAAAAAAUCAAAAGUGAGGAACAAUAUAUUUAUGUUGUGUUGUCAAUAGUAAGAGAAACAAUCGAGUGUUAACGAGGCAGAGAGUCAGACGAGCGACCCGGGACUCGGUCACAAUUUUAGGGAUGCCACGUAGCAGGAAGAUCUACCACGGACGACACAUUACGCUUCCAAUAUUGUCUGCGGAGGUGGUAUCUCCCCGUUUGGUGGCUGCCUAAGUAUGUAAGAUUUUCCAAUGGAAAGUGUAUGUUUGGCAAAUGUAUCCAGGUCUUUAGAGAAUGUACUCAGAUAUUUGGGUUAGGUGUCAAGGGUUCAUGUAUAAUUUGCAUGCCUAAUUGACUAUGUAUAUUUUUUAACCUUAAUUUUUCAUUUGCAGUCACCCGGCGGGAGUCAGAAACGUCAUUUUUGUGCGGACCGGCGACUCGACGGACCCCGGCCGAGGACGCCGCUCGAACCGCGGUUGCGGAGGAGCGCGCCGAUACGAGUCGGAGACGGCUCGUACAGUCGGCGCACGAGAGCGGUCCGGACGAAGACAUUCGGGAACCGAGGACGAAGACGCUCGUCCACUGCGGACGAAGACACCGGUCGACGCGCGAGGAAGAUGCUCGGGAACACGGGAAGAACGCCACACUCCCGAGUGCGGGAAGACACUCGUCAACGCAGAAGGAGACACGCAUCAAUGUCGGGCCGGCGUGAUUGUUGUAAAGACGAUUUAACGUGUAAAAUGAAUGUACGUGUUGUUUGUAACGAUUGUUAUAAUGUUUGUAGUAUUGUUUUUAGAGACCGACUCUGCGAAGACGGAGGAAGUCGAUACAUGUCGAGAAUGAAUUUAUUGAAGAUGUUGCCUGUGAUCACUAGGUGUUUGCACUAAUUUGGGGAGAUGAUUACGAUCGUAGAACGUCACGGAAUGCGGCGCGCACGUCAUUUGUGGCGGGACGCAUCCGUAAAUAACGGCAGC